CCCUCUUCCAGCUGAAGUCGCCGCCGCCCUCUGCUUCUCUCUCUCUCUCCCACCCGCCUCCUCUCUCCUCCCCCUCGCUCCUCUCUCCGAUGCGCAGCCGAGCAGACCGUGCCGACCGCGCGACCCCGCGGCCGCGACACCGACGCGCCAGCGCCCUGCCAUGUGCGCCUGCAGCCACCCGGAGACCGACCGAGCUCCCUGCGCCCAUCGAGCCGCCCGCGCGCCACUUCCUCCAUGGCCACUUCCUCUCUGUCACUUCCUCCAUGGUCGAAGUCUGGGAGCGGCAAGGUAUUGGCCCCCUACCCUUACAACUCCUAGAGCUCUACCCUCACGCUUACCUUAGGGAGACGGGAUGCUUUGCUCGCCUACUGGAGGACAUGCUCUGAUGGUGUUUCCUCUGCUACCAUUUUUAGUUCUUGCUUGUUUCAAUUAGGCAUAUUAGGUUUUGUACUAAUCUGCUAGGGAAUCUGUGGAUGUAGUUAAAUAUUCUGUGGAUGUAGUUAAAUAUUCUGCAAUGAUAACAAGCCAAAUAUACUUUCCACAUUAUGCAAAGGGGCUCACGGCAAGUGGCAAUAACUUUCUGCAAUUGUUCCUUCUUUCUGUCAAGUUAUUUCAAUUGUCUUAUGCAAUGAUUCUGCAAUUAUUCUGCAAUUGUUUCUGCAAGUGGCAUAUAUGUGGAUGUAGUUAAAUAUUCUGCAAUGAUAACAAGCCAAAUAUAACUUUCUGCAAAGGGGCUCAUGAGCAAUUGUCUUAACUUUCUGUCAAGUUCAAUUCACCUAUUCCUCAUCAAUUUCACCAUAUAUGUCAAUCAUUGUCAUAACUUACACCUCUUUAAGCUUAAUGCCAAGCAGUUCAGCCUCGGUUAAACCAAUUGUAUUUUUUAUUUUAGAGCUUAGUUCACUGAUAAUUGUUUUGUUUUUUCUCUGAAAAAUUAGAGAAAUUAAUAACUUAUUUUCCUGUUCCUACAACUUAAUAAAGUCUCAUUACAAGUCAUGUUUUUAAGCAGGCUAUGCGUUCUUUCUCCGAGAAAGGUAAUCCUUCUUUUAUCAAUUUGAAGAAAACCAUUUGUAUUAUGAUUUUUCUAUCCUAAUUCCUGGAAACUGAAUUCUGAAUUUUCUAUUUCUUGUAAUGUUCAUUUCAGAUAUUCUUUCUCUAAUUGCUAAACUUGUACUAAGGGGUGUUGAACAAAAAGAUUUUUGUCGGAGGCGUUGCUUGGGAGACAACUGAAGGUAAAAUUUAUGUGUUAUUUACUAGACUGCUUGCGCCUGGAGUUUGAUUUUUCUAUUUCGGUUCUUUAGAUGUUUUGAAUGCUAAAAUAAAGGAGCUCCUGGAGUUUUCUUUGCCUAGAACUAGAUGGGUUCUCUAGAUGUUUUGAAUGCUGAAAUAAAAAUGUGGAAACAUCAAACAUGAACUAUCGGCGAGCAGGUUGUCAUAUAGGGUUGAUAUGGCGUCUGUUAUUGUGGAAAGUAGUGUUUCUGUUAGCAUGCUUCCAUUAAGUGUCCGACAUGCCAUUUUCCUUGUUUGUCUCUGUUCUUUUGCUACAUUGGCUUAGUGUUAUUCGUGUGUUUUCUUCCAUAUUUUGUUGCCUGUGGCAUUAUUCGUUAUUUGGUUGGUUGAAGAUAUAGAGCAUGCACUCAUCAUAUCUAAGUGAUCGGAGUGAUAUUUAUUGGCUUAUUAGAUGGAUAUUGGCCCAGUUUAUCUUUCAUUUUUUCUAUAGCUGUUAGAAAUUUACUUUGCUCAUAGUUCAUACUAUAAUUAAUAUGAGACUCUUGUUUUGUGGUCCAAGUGUUCAGGGCUCAGGGUGCCUUGGAAGUACGCUAGCUUGUUGUCAUGAAGAAGUCAUUCAAGUUCCUUCCAGGGAGCUAUUAGUUCAUAUGUAUAUUUCUGUUUAUAUCUUAUCUUGUUUAUGUUUAGAUUUAUAUGAGCCAACAACUUAAUGAUUGCACCAGCUGAAGUUGGUGCAUAAGGCUGCAACACCAUCUAGUGGAGGGUGUUCUGGACAAAGAAAGCUUGUACCUUAAAACAGGAGGAUACAAGAAGCUGGAGUGGUUGUCUGAAGGCUUUUGAACUGCUUGAAGCAUUAGUGUAGCUUUGGUGCUUUUGUGACUGAUCAGCUCUGGAGCAGCUAGAGUGAUAUAGUUGUGGGCUUUUGAACAAUAGUUGGACUGAUAUGAAACAUUAGUGAUCUAGUUGUGAAUGAUAUUAUAAUUGUGAUGCUUUUGUGAAUAUAUAAUUGUGGUGCUUUUGUGUUUA
Zea mays is the source of this 2253-nucleotide RNA transcript. RefSeq lists it as uncharacterized. The record is from RefSeq and is a predicted model, not a curated record. The transcript is spliced from 3 exons. NCBI's taxonomy places the organism in Eukaryota, Viridiplantae, Streptophyta, Magnoliopsida, Poales, Poaceae.